This 438-nucleotide ribosomal RNA is filed under the name Clostridium beijerinckii. Its description in RNAcentral is "bacterial SSU rRNA". It matches the Rfam family "Bacterial small subunit ribosomal RNA", at positions 1 to 438 of the family's 1533-position model. The record is from RNAcentral. Lineage: Bacteria; Bacillati; Bacillota; Clostridia; Eubacteriales; Clostridiaceae.
UUUAUUGAGAGUUUGAUCCUGGCUCAGGACGAACGCUGGCGGCGUGCUUAACACAUGCAAGUCGAGCGAUGAAGCUCCUUCGGGAGUGGAUUAGCGGCGGACGGGUGAGUAACACGUGGGUAACCUGCCUCAUAGAGGGGAAUAGCCUUUCGAAAGGAAGAUUAAUACCGCAUAAGAUUGUAGUGCCGCAUGGCAUAGCAAUUAAAGGAGUAAUCCGCUAUGAGAUGGACCCGCGUCGCAUUAGCUAGUUGGUGAGGUAACGGCUCACCAAGGCGACGAUGCGUAGCCGACCUGAGAGGGUGAUCGGCCACAUUGGGACUGAGACACGGCCCAGACUCCUACGGGAGGCAGCAGUGGGGAAUAUUGCACAAUGGGGGAAACCCUGAUGCAGCAACGCCGCGUGAGUGAUGACGGUCUUCGGAUUGUAAAGCUCUGUCU